UGCCCCACCUCUUCACUGCCUUCUCAGCCAAUGGGAGCACAGUGUACACGCCCCCUUCUCCAGCGCGGCUUUUUUGACAUACGAGCAGGAGAAGAUGCCGACUGCUGGAGAGAUGAGAGGGAGGAGGGGACAGCCUGCAGUGUGGGGUGGAUUGCUGCCUCAUAAAAGUAUUUCAAUAUCAUAGAAAGCUGCAGCAAAUCGGGUUGAGCGAUGAGGACCAGAUCUGGCGUCAGUGCUAAUGUAGGAUUUCAGCUUUGACCGACACCUCCACAGCUUCAGCUCUCUGGGGACCGCCUGUGGGCUCAGCAUGGCUGGGUUUCUGGUAUGAAGGCUGAACGUUAGGAAAACAAAUUUGAGAGAUGAAAUACAUACAUAGGAGCUAUUCUAUCUGAUGAAGGAUUUAUAUUUCUAUCCAUUCUGUUCGAGGUUUAAACAGCAUAGUACAGCACAGCCCCCGGGCAGGGCAGGAGACCAAAUGUUCCUCUGCUGCAGUAAAGAUACAGGUUUGGACCCUCCCUCAUCUCUCUGUCACUCUGCUUGUGUCUUCUGUCAGUGUGAUUCUUGUUAGUAUAUAAGCAGUGCAGUGCUGCUGUCUGAGCUGUACUAUACUGUGCAUGGGACCAAGUCAAAUUCCGGCAUUUCGAUUACUUACUUUUAAGCAUUUAUUUUUAUUGAUGUAUAAAUGAAUACAGGUCUGCAUUAAUUUGUGUAUUUUAUAUCUUCCUGCAGCUUGGAGGUAAGCUAUAAACAAAUUAUAUUUUGUGUUAUGUUUUGUAAUGCAAUCGAGGUAUACACAUCCUCACUAGAAGUGAUAAACAGAGCCAGGACAAGGGGUGGGCAGGAGGAUAAGCUGCCCUGGGCACAGCAGAGAAGAGGACAAAGAAUGGACACUGGGCAAUAAAUCCAUUCUACGGCAUGCAUUAAUGGGGAGGGGGCAGUUCUGCAUCCUUGCCCUGGCCGCUAGAUAAACCUGUCCAUAUCCCACUGUAUAAACUUACUUUUGAACU
Molecule: long non-coding RNA, 1007 nt
Organism: Rana temporaria (common frog)
Lineage: Eukaryota; Metazoa; Chordata; Amphibia; Anura; Ranidae
Exons: 3
Source: RefSeq, a predicted model, not a curated record